AGUUAACAUGUCCUAACAGGAAAUUAAUUACUGUUCAUUUGUAUUGAGAACUUGAAAAGCUGAUAAUUGUCAGAACACUGCGACGGAUGUUAAAAGUUGUCUCAAAAACAUGUUCAAACAUAAAUGAAGAAGCAGAUUAGAACAGUUCCUCCUGAUAUGAUCGUGGUUAUGAAACUACAUGAAGUUUUUUAAAAGCAAUUCUUUUGAAUAUGGCUUAUAGAUUUAUGGUGAAAAUGUGCAAAUAGUGAUAUGCAGUUCUGCUCUCAAAAUGUAAUGCUUUCCAUGAACUUUCUGACAGUGUUAUAACAUGAGUCACAUGAAGGCCUCAAUUCAAACAAAUGAACAGCUUUGCUUCUUUCUCAGUUUUUGAAUCCAUUCAAAGACUUCAGCAGAGUCAGAACAUAAUGAGAAAUAAGACAAAAUGUAUUAAUAAACACCACCCAGAACUUUGGUUGGUCAUUAAAUUGUUUGUUGGUCAAUGUAGCACGUUUGAUUAAUUAAAGAUAACCUUGUUUUAAGAAACAGAAUUGUAGGAAACUAAUCUGAAGGAAAGGAUAAGAAACGUUUGCAGUUCUCCAAAUAAAUCAAAGUCUAUCCUGAGCUGAGAAAAGGCACACUUUAUUAAAGAAGACAGAAAAAAAGGAAGAUAAAUAACAGUGUUGGGAGAAGCAUCAUCAGUUGUAUAACAUUCAGUGAAGAUUCUAAAGACUUCUUGGUGUGGAUGAAGUCUUUACACAAGUGCAUGAGAUAGAUAACUUUGCCCAAGGGAUUGAUUAGAGUAGUCGGGAGAGGGAAAGUUUCCCUGUUGCCAAGCAACCCAAGCUUGUGGCCAGGCAACAUGGGCUCCUGACCUAACUGGGUCUGGGAUGCCACAGAGAGAAUUGGAUAUGUUUGUGACAUCAGGCGUCUCCCUCCCCGCCUACUGUCAGUCCCAGAACAAACUUUCUUUGUACAUUCAACAUGCCCUGGCUUCUCUAAAUUAUAAGUGAAUCAGACUGAAUUUAGCUAUUUUAAAGAUUGAAGUGAUUCAACUGGCAAACAACAAAUCACACACAGUACAGAAUAAUUCCCUUCUUAUACUGGGUACAUUCUUCUUUAUGAAUGAUUAUUGAUAUUAUUAUAUAAUGCAAAAAAUUAUUGAAUGAAAAAGUAAACACACAAUAUUAUGGUUAUACCCCCAAGAGCCCCAAUUUCCCACUACAAAUCCCACAAGUCAUCACACUUAAAUAUUAUAAUUAGCCUAUAUUGUCAUACACCAAAGUAAACAAACCAGGGUUUCCACCAGUGUAUUGCAAGCCGGCCGGCUGGCCGGGCCUAAGUUGACGCCCCGCCGGCUUAAGCAUCGGGGAAUUUUAAAAAAAAGAAUGUAUUUUUAAUAUGUUUUUAAAACUACAGUUACAGUGGGGCGGCUCGGUUGGAAAGCUCCCCAGCGACAUCUGUUGGUUUAAACGUGAACGUUCAACACUUGACGCUUCCAACUAUCACGUUACCUAGCAAGCCACCAUUUCUUAUUUACAGGGCUAAAUAACCGUGUUAGAAACUGCGUUAUCACUUCAUCUCGUCAGUUUUAUAUUAACUUAAGCAGUGUGUAGGUAACGUUAAACUAAUAGCAUUAAUGUAAUGUUAGAUACAUUGUAACAUUACAUGACUUAUUAAUCGCCAUCGAAAUAACGACUUCACUUGUUUAUUAAUAACGUUAGCUUGAUGACAUUGAUAUGCACGACAACGUGGUCAUUUAGCUAACUUAGCUAGCUAGCCAAACAGUCAGUAACACAGAUACAUACAGAUUUUGUUGUUGUUGAAAUGUGCCCAGCAUUCCAAGGCUGUACAUUGUUGUAAGAUUCAGUAGCCAAUCAGUAGGCAGCGUUGUGCCUAUCCCGCUCUUACAGCUCGUUUCCAGCCCAAACCACUGCAAAGAGAGCAAACUUCUUUUUUUGUCAGUGACAUUUCCUUCUGACAUCUACGAAGGCAAUCACAACCACAACAUUUAUUUUGCCUUUUUGUAUAGCUAUUUCCAUAGCUAAAAUCGCAUGUAUUAUUAUUAUUAUUUAUUGGUAAAAACAUUUACUUCAUAUCCAGGGAGAUAGCCGACUACUUGCACGUUACAUGACAUGUAUAGCCAUUUAGUAAUACGUUCGCAUUUCAGGCUAGAAAAUGCCCGGUUAAUCCAGAGAAAUUGCUGAGUUGUCUUAGAAUCUUUAUCGCAACAGAAUGUAUCAAGGCUGGCAGCCCGGCUCAAAUUUGUUGUGAAAGUUGCCGUCCAAAACAAACACCUGAGAGAGGCUUCCUGCCUGCGUAGUUCCCGCAAGGCGUUACGUCAUUGUUUUGCAAUGUGCAACUGUCGUAAAAACAUGCGGGCUUCGAUAACCGGAAUCGAUAAGCUCAUACAAUUCCAAUGCAUAAGACAACUUGGAACCGGUUCUUGAUUCACGCCCCUAAUUAAACGUGCCCUGCAUUCCAGCGCUUGUUGUAAUAUUCAGUAGCCAAUCAGGACUUUUUUCAAGUUUUUUGUAGAGUGUUAUUUAUUUUCAUUUCAUUUCUUUUGUUGUUGUUGAAAACACAGAAUUCCUGUCAGGGUUCUGUUGUCUUCUGUUGUCUUCCCCCUUGUUGUUCUCCGUUGGGCCGCCAGAUGGCGGCACCUCGGUUUUCUGUUCAGUUAAUUGUUUUAUUGUUUUUGAU
Anguilla rostrata (American eel) is the source of this 2679-nucleotide long non-coding RNA. RefSeq lists it as uncharacterized. The transcript has 2 exons. Lineage: Eukaryota; Metazoa; Chordata; Actinopteri; Anguilliformes; Anguillidae. The record is from RefSeq and is a predicted model, not a curated record.